RNAcentral lists this non-coding RNA (1290 nucleotides) under Drosophila ananassae. Its description in RNAcentral is "Eukaryotic large subunit ribosomal RNA". It matches the Rfam family "Eukaryotic large subunit ribosomal RNA", at positions 2096 to 3399 of the family's 3401-position model. Lineage: Eukaryota; Metazoa; Arthropoda; Insecta; Diptera; Drosophilidae. The record is from Rfam by way of RNAcentral.
UUAAACAAGAUCGGAGAGAUCCGAGACAUACACCUGUCCCUAUCUACUAUCUAGCGAAACCACAGCCAAGGGAACGGGCUUGGAAUAAUUAGCGGGGAAAGAAGACCCUUUUGAGCUUGACUCUAAUCUGGCAGUGUAAGGAGACAUAAGAGGUGUAGAAUAAGUGGGAGAUAUUAGACUUCGGUUUGGUAUCGCCAAUGAAAUACCACUACUCUUAUUGUUUCCUUACUUACUUGAUUAAAUGGAACGUGUAUCAUUUCCUAGCCAUUAUACGGAUAUAUUUAUUAUAUCUUAUGGUAUUGGGUUUUGAUGCAAGCUUCUUGAUCAAAGUAUCACGAGUUUGUUAUAUAAUCGCAAACAAAUUCUUUAAUGAGAGAUGCAUUUACUGUAUUAUUGAUUUGAAAAUUUGGUAUAACUCCAAUUACUCAGGUAUGAUCCAAUUCAAGGACAUUGCCAGGUAGGGAGUUUGACUGGGGCGGUACAUCUCUCAAAUAAUAACGGAGGUGUCCCAAGGCCAGCUCAGUGCGGACAGAAACCACACAUAGAGCAAAAGGGCAAAUGCUGACUUGAUCUCGGUGUUCAGUACACACAGGGACAGCAAAAGCUCGGCCUAUCGAUCCUUUUGGUUUAAAGAGUUUUUAACAAGAGGUGUCAGAAAAGUUACCAUAGGGAUAACUGGCUUGUGGCGGCCAAGCGUUCAUAGCGACGUCGCUUUUUGAUCCUUCGAUGUCGGCUCUUCCUAUCAUUGUGAAGCAAAAUUCACCAAGCGUUGGAUUGUUCACCCAUGCAAGGGAACGUGAGCUGGGUUUAGACCGUCGUGAGACAGGUUAGUUUUACCCUACUAAUGACAAAACGUUGUUGCGACAGCAUUCCUGCGUAGUACGAGAGGAACCGCAGGUACGGACCAAUGGCACAAUACUUGUUCGAGCGAACAGUGGUAUGACGCUACGUCCGUUGGAUUAUGCCUGAACGCCUCUAAGGUCGUAUCCGUGCUGGACUGCAAUGAUAAAUAAGGGGCAAUUUGCAUUGUAUGGCUUCUAAACCAUUUAAAGUUUAUUAUUUAUAUUUUAAACGACAAUGGAUGUGAUGCCAAUGUAAUUUGUAACAUAGUAAAUUGGGAGGAUCUUUGAUCACCUGGUGCCAUGCUAGUUACAUAUGAAAACAUUAUUUAAUACAAUGACAAAGCCUAGAAUCAAUUGUAAACGACUUUUGUAACGGGCAAGGUGUUGUAAGUGGUUGAGCAGCUGCCAUACUGCGAUCCACUGAAGCUUAUCCUUUGCUUGAUGAUUC